UAGCGAUAUGGUACGGUAAGCUCCAC
RNAcentral lists this small RNA (26 nucleotides) under Bombyx mori (domestic silkworm). RNAcentral's name for it is "ovarian small RNA-22423". Lineage: Eukaryota; Metazoa; Arthropoda; Insecta; Lepidoptera; Bombycidae. The record is from RNAcentral.